RNAcentral lists this ribosomal RNA (253 nucleotides) under uncultured bacterium. RNAcentral's name for it is "partial 16S ribosomal RNA". It matches the Rfam family "Bacterial small subunit ribosomal RNA", at positions 524 to 776 of the family's 1533-position model. The record is from RNAcentral.
UACGUAGGGUCCAAGCGUUAUCCGGAAUCACUGGGCGUAAAGCGUGCGUAGGCGGCGUGUUAAGUGUGAUGUUAAAUCGUGUGGCUCAACCAUAUCGAUGUGUCGCAUACUGGCAUGCUAGAGGACAGCAGAGGCAAGUGGAAUUUGUAGUGUAGCAGUGAAAUGCGUAGAUAUUACAAGGAACACCAAUGGCGAAGGCAGCUUGCUGGGCUACUCCUGACACUGAGGUACGAAAGCGUGGGGAGCGAACAGG